Molecule: ribosomal RNA, 460 nt
Filed under: uncultured bacterium
Lineage: Bacteria
Description: partial 16S ribosomal RNA
Rfam family: Bacterial small subunit ribosomal RNA
Source: RNAcentral
CCUACGGGAGGCAGCAGUGAGGAAUAUUGGUCAAUGGGCUUACGCCUGAACCAGCAAAGUCGCGUGAGGGAAGACUGCCCUCUGGGUUGUAAACCUCUUUUGUCAGGGAGCAAUUGGCGCUACGUGUAGCGUUAUCGAGAGUACCUGAAGAAAAAGCAUCGGCUAACUCCGUGCCAGCAGCCGCGGUAAUACGGAGGAUGCGAUCGUUAUCCGGAUUUAUUGGGUUUAAAGGGUGCGUAGGCGGAAUGCCAAGUCAGCGGGAAAAUCGCGGGGCUCAACCUCGCUCCGCCGUUGAAACUGGCGUUCUUGAGUGGGCGAGAAGUAUGCGGAAUGCGUGGUGUAGCGGUGAAAUGCGUAGAUAUCACGCAGAACACCGGUUGCGAAGGCAGCAUACCGGCGCCCAACUGACGCUGAAGCACGAAAGCGUGGGUAUCGAACAGGAUUAGAUACCCCAGUAGUC